Non-coding RNA from Xylariaceae sp. FL1019, 82 nucleotides. The record is from the annotation of a GenBank genome assembly. NCBI's taxonomy places the organism in Eukaryota, Fungi, Ascomycota, Sordariomycetes, Xylariales, Xylariaceae.
GUUUCCGUGGCCUAGCGGUUAUGGCGUCUGCUUUACAUCUGAGGUACGCAGAAGAUCGCCGGUUCAAUCCCGGCCGGGAACA